This 434-nucleotide ribosomal RNA is filed under the name uncultured Lachnospiraceae bacterium. Its description in RNAcentral is "partial 16S ribosomal RNA". It matches the Rfam family "Bacterial small subunit ribosomal RNA", at positions 341 to 792 of the family's 1533-position model. The record is from RNAcentral. Lineage: Bacteria; Bacillati; Bacillota; Clostridia; Lachnospirales; Lachnospiraceae.
ACGGGAGGCAGCAGUGGGGAAUAUUGCACAAUGGGGGAAACCCUGAUGCAGCGACGCCGCGUGAGUGAAGAAGUAUUUCGGUAUGUAAAGCUCUAUCAGCAGGAAAGAAAAUGACGGUACCUGACUAAGAAGCCCCGGCUAACUACGUGCCAGCAGCCGCGGUAAUAAGUAGGGGGCAAGCGUUAUCCGGAUUUACUGGGUGUAAAGGGAGCGUAGACGGUAAGGCAAGUCUGAAGUGAAAUGCCAGGGCUCAACCCUGGAACUGCUUUGGAAACUGUCCUACUAGAGUGCAGGAGAGGUAAGUGGAAUUCCUAGUGUAGCGGUGAAAUGCGUAGAUAUUAGGAGGAACACCAGUGGCGAAGGCGGCUUACUGGACUGUAACUGACGUUGAGGCUCGAAAGCGUGGGGAGCAAACAGGAUUAGAUACCCUGGUA